UAUUUGGUUGGGUUCGGGCCCGCUAACAGACCGCCGAACGAACAGAGUUUUUCCUGUACAUCCUAGGCGUCGCAAUCAAUACAAUACAAGAGGUUCCAACUAGGAACAGUAUUCAAUCAUAGAUUGCAUAAGGAAGUGUCAAAAACAUAAAACAUCUAAGCUAUUACAAGCAUUAACACCACAUUCUUUUUACAUAUUAUAUUUUCGUUUUCUUUUCUUCCAAAUACAAUCAAGAUUACAACAAUAAUGCUUCUCUACAACCCCUAGU
RNAcentral lists this long non-coding RNA (268 nucleotides) under Ananas comosus (pineapple). RNAcentral describes it as "long non-coding RNA (ACOM_LNC024317)". Lineage: Eukaryota; Viridiplantae; Streptophyta; Magnoliopsida; Poales; Bromeliaceae. The record is from RNAcentral.